Molecule: ribosomal RNA, 944 nt
Filed under: Pholiota lignicola
Lineage: Eukaryota; Fungi; Basidiomycota; Agaricomycetes; Agaricales; Strophariaceae
Description: partial large subunit ribosomal RNA
Rfam family: Eukaryotic large subunit ribosomal RNA
Source: RNAcentral
ACGGAAAAAGAACUAACAAGGAUUCCCCUAGUAACUGCGAGUGAAGCGGGAAAAGCUCAAAUUUAAAAUCUGGCGGUCUUUGGCCGUCCGAGUUGUAAUCUAGAGAAGUGUUAUCCGCGCUGGACCGUGUACAAGUCUCCUGGAAUGGAGCGUCAUAGAGGGUGAGAAUCCCGUCUUUGACACGGACUGCCAGUGCUUUGUGAUGCGCUCUCAAAGAGUCGAGUUGUUUGGGAAUGCAGCUCAAAAUGGGUGGUAAAUUCCAUCUAAAGCUAAAUAUUGGCGAGAGACCGAUAGCGAACAAGUACCGUGAGGGAAAGAUGAAAAGAACUUUGGAAAGAGAGUUAAACAGUACGUGAAAUUGUUGAAAGGGAAACGCUUGAAGUCAGUCGCGUUGUCCGGGGAUCAACCUUGCUUUUGCUGGGUGUACUUUCCGGUUGACGGGUCAGCAUCAAUUUUGACCGUUGGAUAAAGUCUAGGGGAAUGUGGCAUCUUCGGAUGUGUUAUAGCCCUUGGUCGUAUACAACGGUUGGGAUUGAGGAACUCAGCACGCCGCAAGGCCGGGAAUUCGUUCCACGUUCGUGCUUAGGAUGCUGGCAUAAUGGCUUUAAUCGACCCGUCUUGAAACACGGACCAAGGAGUCUAACAUGCCUGCGAGUGUUUGGGUGGAAAACCCGAGCGCGUAAUGAAAGUGAAAGUUGAGAUCCCUGUCGCGGGGAGCAUCGACGCCCGGACCAGACCUUUUGUGACGGAUCCGCGGUAGAGCAUGUAUGUUGGGACCCGAAAGAUGGUGAACUAUGCCUGAAUAGGGUGAAGCCAGAGGAAACUCUGGUGGAGGCUCGUAGCGAUUCUGACGUGCAAAUCGAUCGUCAAAUUUGGGUAUAGGGGCGAAAGACUAAUCGAACCAUCUAGUAGCUGGUUCCUGCCGAGUUUUCUCUCCCGGAAAA